CGUUGGCACUAAGAUAAAAACCCAUCUGGAAUUAGAUAGUGUACUUUUCUUUUAUCUUUUUGCUUUUGCUUUUCUUGUCUUUUUCUUUCCUGGAAAAAUAUAUUUCCUCUCCUUUGAAAUUUCAAUCUUGCGAGAUCUCAUCGAUGGGAGAGGAAGUGAGGAUGAAGGAUGUUUCGGGCGACGGAGAGAGGGUAAUGGAAUGGGAGAAGGGGCUACCAAGCGACGAAGAUUUGGCGUCGCUCUCGUACUCUCUUGUCCCUUCGAAUCUCGCGAUGGCUUUCAGCAUAACCCCGGAGAAGAGCCGUACCAUCCAGGACGUGAAUCGUGCUUCGGAGACGACCUUCUCGUCGCUGCGCGGCGGAUCUUCCGGUCCCAACACCUCUUCGUCCACCAACCUCGGCGUCGCGGCGGCGGAGGAGGAGGAGGAAGAUCGAGUAGGAUCGAGCAGUCCCGGGUCGGAUUCCAAGAAACAAAAGAUAUCGGAGGAGGAAGGAGAUUCGGGAACUGAACUGAAACGGGCGCGUUUGGUGUGGACGCCGCAGCUGCACAAGAGAUUCGUGGAUGUUGUGGCUCACUUAGGGAUUAAAAACGCAGUGCCGAAGACGAUCAUGCAGCUGAUGAACGUCCAAGGAUUGACUCGAGAGAACGUCGCGUCCCACCUCCAGAAGUACAGGCUCUACCUCAAACGGAUGCAGGGAUUCACUUCGGAAGGUCCCUCUUCUUCCGAUAAGCUCUUCUCCUCAACCCCUGUGCCUCCGCAGAGCUUCCAAGACCAAGGGAGUGCAUCUGCCGGAGCGCCCUCGAUGAUGCAGAUGCCAGUCUAUGCGCACCAUAUGGGUAUGCAAGGGUAUCAUCACCAGAAUCACGCUCAUGAUCCUUAUCAUCAGAACCAUCAUCGCGGAAGUGGCGCACCUGCAAAUCCAUAUAUGAUGCAGCAGAACAAGUUCGGAUCCAUGGCCUCUUAUCCUCCUGUCGGGGGUGGAAGCGCUAAUGAGAAUUAAAAUGAAUUUAAUAGGAUCUUUUUACGAGUUUUUUUCUAAGCCCAUCGUCAUCAUUGCAUCAUACAUAGGAGAUCAGCUGUUCAGACAACCCAUCAUGUCGAAACUAGACCAAUGACUAUUGUUGGAGCACAAUGCAUACAUGAAGACCUCUGACUAGUUUCAUCUACUGAUUUCUAUAUUGUAAUUUGAGGGGAUGGAACUCUGGCACUAGCUCGUUCUGUUCUUCUCUGGGUUCUGCAAAAAAAAGGUCAAGAACCAUGCGGUUAGAGAUUAUAGACACUAGUGAAAAUAGAAACAGAGGAGUUUUAGAAUACCAUUGAAGGGAACCAGGGCAUUUUCUGCAUAGAGUUUUUCGAAUUCAGAUCGGCAAGCAAAAGCAGUGGCACUUGUGGUGCUGAAAAUAACGUUUGGGAGGUUAAACUCUUUGGCUGCAGCUUCAGCAAAGUACAUGAACUCGUCGUAGAUGACACAUGCGAUCUCAUGACUUUGUUGUAUCAUCAACAACCGACUCAGACAGUCCUUGAAGCUCACCUGACACUCUUUGUUGAGCUUAUGCAGAAACCGUAUUGGCCCUAGAUUCUUGAAUUCAGACUCCGGUAAGCUUUCUGGAAUGGUGACAAACUGAAAGUCAG
This is an RNA transcript of Brassica rapa (field mustard), 1633 nucleotides long. It is a transcript of the gene named transcription factor LUX, with no coding region annotated. Lineage: Eukaryota; Viridiplantae; Streptophyta; Magnoliopsida; Brassicales; Brassicaceae. The record is from RefSeq and is a predicted model, not a curated record.